UACGAGGGGGGCAUGCGUUGUUCGGAAUUAUUGGGCGUAAAGGGUGCGUAGGCUGUGCGGUAAGUCACCUGUGAAAUCUCCGAGCUCAACUCGGCGCCUGCAGGCGAAACUGCCGUGCUGGAGUAUGGGAGAGGUGCGUGGAAUUCCCGGUGUAGCGGCGAAAUGCGUAGAGAUCGGGAGGAACACCUGUGGCGAAAGCGGCGCACGGGACCAUUACUGACGCUGAUGCACGAAAGCUAGGGGAGCAAACAGG
RNAcentral lists this ribosomal RNA (253 nucleotides) under uncultured bacterium. RNAcentral describes it as "partial 16S ribosomal RNA". It matches the Rfam family "Bacterial small subunit ribosomal RNA", at positions 524 to 776 of the family's 1533-position model. The record is from RNAcentral.